Long non-coding RNA from Homo sapiens (human), 271 nucleotides. Lineage: Eukaryota; Metazoa; Chordata; Mammalia; Primates; Hominidae. The record is from Ensembl.
UUGAUGAGAAGCUAAGUUUUAUUAUUAUAAUUACAAAUUAAUUACAGAGAAACUGAAGCCAUUCUUCAUACAUGACAAACAUACAUUUCCUCUGUGUGUACAGCACACAAGUAAUAUACACAAAUAUAUUCCAUGUCUGAACAAAUCCUUUUUAAAACUUUAAAAGCUGGCUGGGCACAGUGGCUCACGCCUGUAAUCCCGGCACUUUGGGAGGCCAAGGCAUGAGCCACCACACCCAGCCCAGACUUACUUUUUUUAAAAUAAGACUACC